Molecule: long non-coding RNA, 961 nt
Filed under: Phoenix dactylifera (date palm)
Lineage: Eukaryota; Viridiplantae; Streptophyta; Magnoliopsida; Arecales; Arecaceae
Description: long non-coding RNA (PDAC_LNC001928)
Source: RNAcentral
AAGCGCACGGUUGUUUUUAAUUUGACUUUUGGAUUUGAAGUAAGUUUAGGUUGAAUAUGAGUUUGCGUAUAAUUGUCCCUAGCAGCCUUGUAUCCGAUCGACACACAAAAGUUCACCUAAGAAGUUAAGAUCCAAUUUUAUGAGAUCUAUUUCCGCACAAAUAGAGCAUAACUAAGGUAUGUCAAUGUAACUCCUUCAAGAUUAAAACAUUAAAAUACUACUUAACAAAACAACGAGAUCUUAACCCUAUUUGCUGUGGCAGGAAAUGGGAUUAAUAAACCCUUGUUGUUCUGCCUAGUAACAUUUCAAUAUUUUAAUCUUAAGGUAAUGGAGAAAUAAAUUUCCGCCGCAUUAGGGUACCUAAUUAAGCAGCAACCAACCAAAUAAAGCUGAUUUGACUCGUAAAAAUUAGUUCAAAAAUCUGGCCUCGGCUUGAAAAACUUACACCUGAAGCUGUUGUGUCCCACCUCCAGCCUUCCACGAGUCAAAAAACUGGACCUCAAAUGAGGAAGCCACAUGAAUUAUCUUAGGAAGCAACUACUUGUGUUGAUAAUUCGAUAAUGACAACUCCUAUCAGGGCAUAGCUUUCCAUAUUGCUUUUGUGCGAAAAGGGCAUGGAUGCAGGGCAUAACCGUGCCCUAGUGACGUCAAAGCAUCUCUCCAAAGAGAGAUCAGAAAUAUUAAGCCAUAGCAUCUGUUGGUAAAAGAAUUCGAAUUAUAACAAUUCAGGCCUCAUCCAAAAAAAAAACUAGUCGAAGAUAUUAUUUAAAUUUUUUGGCCCUGUAUAAGUACCCAGAGAGCAGAAAUAUUAAGCCAUAGCAUCUACUGGUAAAAGAAUUCGAAUUAUAAUAAUUCAGGGUCUCAUUCAAAAAAGUUAAGCCGGAAGAUAUUAUUUAAGUUUUUUAGCCCUGUAUAAGUAUCCAGGAUCUACCUAUUACAUGCCCGAUGUGAGAUUAAAUAC